Molecule: ribosomal RNA, 215 nt
Filed under: uncultured bacterium
Lineage: Bacteria
Description: partial 16S ribosomal RNA
Rfam family: Bacterial small subunit ribosomal RNA
Source: RNAcentral
UGGGAACCUUCCCUAUGGUUCGGAAUAGCUCAGGGAAACUUGGGGUAAUACCGGAUAAGCCCUUCGGGGGAAAGAUUUAUCGCCAUUGGAUGGGCCCGCGUCGGAUUAGCUAGUUGGUGAGGUAACGGCUCACCAAGGCGACGAUCCGUAGCUGGUCUGAGAGGAUGAUCAGCCACAUUGGGACUGAGACACGGCCCAGACUCCUACGGGAGCAG